Long non-coding RNA from Helianthus annuus (common sunflower), 618 nucleotides. RefSeq lists it as uncharacterized. The transcript has 2 exons. NCBI's taxonomy places the organism in Eukaryota, Viridiplantae, Streptophyta, Magnoliopsida, Asterales, Asteraceae. The record is from RefSeq and is a predicted model, not a curated record.
CACCAUAUUUUGACUUCUUCACUUUGACUUCUAUACAUGCAUAUAUGUCCACUAGUUCUAAAUCCACUUUGACUUCCAAAUCUUCACAACUAGCUACCAGUCACAAAAGUUCUCUUUCACUCUCUAAUUGGCCUAAUGGGCUCCAACUCUUGUUCUCUACCUUCGCUGCAUUGUUCGCUCGCCAUUUAGAGUAUGCGGUACCUUGAAGAUCCCAUGGCUCGAUUUUGUAAAGAUCGACAUCUCUGAUGACAUCGAGGUCAAUCCUUCUUGAAUUUAUCUUUUUCCUAAGGUAGUAAUCUACAAGUUCUUCAUCAGUGGGAUGGAACCGAAAGCCAGGAGGUACAUGCGAAAAAGUGUUCAUAUCUCCUUUCACAGAAACUGAACCUGCAAUCCAUUUUGGUUUGAUAGAUAAAUUUAGUUUUGGAAGCAAAUUUACUAUGCACAAAGGCAUGUAUUUAGUCAGACAACCAUGUAAAUUUCAGGCUCAUGCAUCUAUGUAUCAAGUAGAUUAGCUGAAAAUGAUUAUUAUUUAUCUUUCUUCUAUCAAUUGUAAUGUUGACAAGAUGUAGUGAGUAUUCUCAUUUUGCAAUUGAAUAAAACUUUGUACAUGUAAUUAAA